RNAcentral lists this long non-coding RNA (165 nucleotides) under Coturnix japonica (Japanese quail). RNAcentral describes it as "lncRNA (ENSCJPG00005019071.1)". Lineage: Eukaryota; Metazoa; Chordata; Aves; Galliformes; Phasianidae. The record is from RNAcentral.
CUAUAAGGCAGCCUAGAAGAUGGACGUUUGACAGGCCACAAUAGACUGCUCCUUUCCCAGCAAGUUUGAGUUCCCGAAGUGCUGGGUGAGAAAGGUCUUUCCUAAGACCUGCAACUGAGAUUCACUAGAGAUUUUAUCUUCAGAACAACUUGCAUGUGAAGAAAC